Pelobates cultripes (western spadefoot toad) is the source of this 235-nucleotide non-coding RNA. NCBI's taxonomy places the organism in Eukaryota, Metazoa, Chordata, Amphibia, Anura, Pelobatidae. The record is from the annotation of a GenBank genome assembly.
CUGACAGGUUUACUAGACUCGGGUAUAAAGAAGAAAUUUGGUUUGUCCAAACCAAUUCAUCCGGAAAAUGAAAUCUUAGUUUGGGUGGUCUGAAUUUUGUUCAGAUAUUUCAGAUUUUCAGAAUUUCAACCAUGCAAACGAUUUGGGAAAAUGAUUCAGACCAACCAAAAUGGUACGAAAAUUAGUCCUGCAAAAUGUAUGUAUUAUGUAUUUGGUUUACAGAUCAAGUGAGAAG